GAUGAACGCUGGCGGCGUGCCUAAUACAUGCAAGUCGAGCGAACAGAUGAGGAGCUUGCUCCUCUGACGUUAGCGGCGGACGGGUGAGUAACACGUGGAUAACCUACCUAUAAGACUGGGAUAACUUCGGGAAACCGGAGCUAAUACCGGAUAAUAUAUUGAACCGCAUGGUUCAAUAGUGAAAGACGGUUUUGCUGUCACUUAUAGAUGGAUCCGCGCCGCAUUAGCUAGUUGGUAAGGUAACGGCUUACCAAGGCAACGAUGCGUAGCCGACCUGAGAGGGUGAUCGGCCACACUGGAACUGAGACACGGUCCAGACUCCUACGGGAGGCAGCAGUAGGGAAUCUUCCGCAAUGGGCGAAAGCCUGACGGAGCAACGCCGCGUGAGUGAUGAAGGUCUUCGGAUCGUAAAACUCUGUUAUUAGGGAAGAACAAAUGUGUAAGUAACUAUGCACGUCUUGACGGUACCUAAUCAGAAAGCACGGCUAACUACGUG
Molecule: ribosomal RNA, 496 nt
Filed under: uncultured bacterium
Lineage: Bacteria
Description: partial 16S ribosomal RNA
Rfam family: Bacterial small subunit ribosomal RNA
Source: RNAcentral